UUUUUUUUUUUUUUUUUUUUUUUUUUUCCAUUU
Molecule: non-coding RNA, 33 nt
Filed under: Prorocentrum micans
Lineage: Eukaryota; Dinophyceae; Prorocentrales; Prorocentraceae
Source: RNAcentral